CCUACGGGAGGCAGCAGUCGAGAAUCAUUCACAAUGGGGGAAACCCUGAUGCUGCGACGCCGCGUGGGGGAAUGAAGGUCUUCGGAUUGUAAACCCCUGUCAUGUGGGAGCAAAUUAAAAAGAUAGUACCACAUGAGGAAGAGACUGCUAACUCUGUGCCAGCAGCUGCGGUAAUACAGAGGUCUCAAGCGUUGUUCGGAAUCACUGGGCGUAAAGCGUGCGUAGGCUGUUUCGUAAGUCGUGUGUGAAAGGGGGGGGCUCAACCCGCGGAGGGCACAUGAUACUGCGGGACUAGUGUGAUGGAGGGGGAACCGGAAUGCACGGUGUAGCAGUGAAAUGCGUAGAGAUCG
RNAcentral lists this ribosomal RNA (350 nucleotides) under uncultured bacterium. Its description in RNAcentral is "partial 16S ribosomal RNA". It matches the Rfam family "Bacterial small subunit ribosomal RNA", at positions 338 to 699 of the family's 1533-position model. The record is from RNAcentral.